RNAcentral lists this ribosomal RNA (497 nucleotides) under uncultured bacterium. RNAcentral describes it as "partial 16S ribosomal RNA". It matches the Rfam family "Bacterial small subunit ribosomal RNA", at positions 28 to 507 of the family's 1533-position model. The record is from RNAcentral.
GAUGAACGCUGGCGGCGUGCCUAAUACAUGCAAGUCGAGCGAACAGACGAGGAGCUUGCUCCUUUGACGUUAGCGGCGGACGGGUGAGUAACACGUAGGUAACCUACCUAUAAGACUGGGAUAACUUCGGGAAACCGGAGCUAAUACCGGAUAAUAUUUCGAACCGCAUGGUUCGAUAGUGAAAGAUGGCUUUGCUAUCACUUAUAGAUGGACCUGCGCCGUAUUAGCUAGUUGGUAAGGUAACGGCUUACCAAGGCAACGAUACGUAGCCGACCUGAGAGGGUGAUCGGCCACACUGGAACUGAGACACGGUCCAGACUCCUACGGGAGGCAGCAGUAGGGAAUCUUCCGCAAUGGGCGAAAGCCUGACGGAGCAACGCCGCGUGAGUGAUGAAGGUCUUCGGAUCGUAAAACUCUGUUAUUAGGGAAGAACAAACGUGUAAGUAACUGUGCACGUCUUGACGGUACCUAAUUAGAAAGCCACGGCUAACUACGUG